CACAGAACUAUCUGGGCCUCUUCCUCUACCCCUCCUUGUGUGAUCGCUCCUUUCAAAAGCAACAGCCAAAGCAGAUGCAAGGGAGAUGCAUUGGUGCUCAUAAAUUCAAGGAGCUGAAAUGGCAACAGCUGUGGCAAUUUCAGGAUUUCAGCAGGUAAUCAAGUAAGUGCAAAAGCGGGAUUUGACAAUUCUACAGGGGACUGGGACAGAGGGCAGCGAGAACUUGAGCUUCAAGGAGAAUCUUCACUAGCUAUCAACAAGAAAUGUAAAUGCUGUGACUUUACCCAGUUAAGCACAGCAGAUUUUCCUGCUUUCAACUCUAAUCCUUGAGCAGCAGGAGUACCCUUUCCCAUCUCACAACAUUUGACUUUCUCAGAUAUAUUUAUUCUAUGUUAUAUACUGCAGUUCACCUAUGUAUUUUGGGGUUAAUUUAUCACUGGUUGAAUAACAUCGUUCAAUAGACUUAUGAAAAGAUGGGCAUUUUCAGUUGUGCCAAUUUAGGUGAGGCUUAUGGACAGUGUUUCUUCCAAAAUGUUCCCAAGUCUAAAGGACCAUGAUUCUCAAAUUCUCUGUAAAGUAUAACUAGGUCUCUUUCUCACCUUGGAAGAACAGCAGCUAGAGGCCAGCAUUCAAGGCAUGGAACGGAGAAGGUAUAUGGUGCCUUGUUCUCUUUUGUUAUUAGAUGUAAUUAUGAAAUAUAAAACUAGGACAAAAGCAAGUUGUAAGUGUUAGCAUAGUGGCUACGAGCACAGACUCAAGCCAGUCUGCCUAGGUUCAAAUCCCAGCUCUGCCACUUGCGGGCUUUGUGACCUAGGACAAGUUUCUUUACUGUUUUACUGUCCCAGUUUCUGCAUCUGUAUAACAUUGCUAGUAAUACCCACUGCAAAUGAUUUUAUGAGAAUUAAUUUACUCACUGUUUGGGAAGUACUUAGAAUAAUGCCUAGCAAUAGUAAGCACUCAGUAAAUGUCUUUUAUAUAGAGCAUGUAUCUAUCUCUUCAAUAACAAGCACCUGUGCAACAGUCAGAACACCACAAAAUAGCACUAUAAAGACAGUAAAAAAUAUCCCUUUGUUUUUUUUUAACAUGUCUUUGUAUUAAUUAGAGCUCUGCCAGCUGCAAAUUCAGAAAUCCAAUUUCUGAACUAGCCUAAGGGGACACAAAAGGAACUUAUUGCCUCUUGGGAUUGGGAAGUUCAGUGUGCCUCUGAUUUCAGGAACAGCUGAAUCCAAGAGCUCAGACUCUGUCCCCAUCACUGCUGCUGUCUCUCUCCCUUUGUCUCUUGACUGUGCUCACAUAAUUAUACCUGCAGUCUUUCACAUGACAGGAAAGGUGACCACCACCAGCCCCUUGCUUAUACCCAACUAAUACCUAUAUAUUAGUUGGUCUUACACUGCUAUAAAGACAUACCUGAGACUGGGUAAUUUAUAAAGAAAA
Homo sapiens (human) is the source of this 1434-nucleotide long non-coding RNA. Ensembl annotates it as long intergenic non-protein coding RNA 2284. NCBI's taxonomy places the organism in Eukaryota, Metazoa, Chordata, Mammalia, Primates, Hominidae. The record is from Ensembl.